Molecule: long non-coding RNA, 2036 nt
Organism: Macaca mulatta (Rhesus monkey)
Lineage: Eukaryota; Metazoa; Chordata; Mammalia; Primates; Cercopithecidae
Source: Ensembl
ACCACACAGUCUCUCUGCUGGGCUGGGAACAGCCGGCUUCAACCUGCUGCCUUGUUUACUAAAUGGAAUCAGCAGAUAAUUUCACGGUGGUAUAGACAGCAUGAAAAUCCCACUCAAGAUUCAUAAAUCCUGCUUUAAAUUCGGCCAGCUUGUAUACAAGCUGCCCUCUCAGCUCUUUCCAGUUGGAAGCUGCAGUCACACCAAGAAUGGAAGAUGGAGUUAGAGACAGAGAAGUACAUGCCUAGUCUGACUACCUAGUCCCAGGGAAGGAUGCAGAGACAGAGGUGAUUUGGGCCAGGAAGGGGUGAUAAAGGAAGAAAGAAAGUUUGAAAGGAUGGAAGAGGGAAGGAAAGAGGAAGAGAUAACAGGAAGCAAUGAGAUUAACAAGCUAAACAGAGAAGGAUAACACUCAAGAAGCUGCCUAUAUGUAAGAGAUUCCUUUGAGAACUUUCAAAUGGCUCCUUCCUACAAAAAACCUGGGAAUACUUAACCUCCCACCACCAGCACACUCAAAGCUCAAGGCAAAUGCAUUUUCAAGAUUGACAGGGUCUUGGACUCUGAAAGUCUUUGGUGAGUACUGCACUGCAAGUCUUCAUAUUCUACCGAAUGAGUAAUUACCCUAUUUUCUGAAAAAUAUUUCAAAAGACGACCUUUUUCUCAUGAUUCCACUACAACCACCUACCCUCCUUCUUUAUUGGCUCUCCUAAUAAUUCUUCCAACCCAGCAGUAAUGCACCGUGGAGUCAGGUGAAUGGUAUCAGUAACUUCCUUCCUUCUAUAUCUUUGGCACUAUCUAAUGUGCCGUUUCUUUCCUGAACCCAUCCACCAAUAAGCCCAAAUAAGUCUCAACUUUCAUCUCUCUCGAAACCACAGGCUGAUUUAACUGCUAUUCUAGAUUUUAUUUUUAACAAAAGGAAUUAAAGUGCAGAGAUAAUUGCUUCCAGAAAUACUAGCCACUAGUUAUACUGUCUCUGGUUUACCAGAAGGAGACACUUACAUAUGCAAAUACACACCCCAAACUGAGUUCUGAAAAGCUGGGGUGCAGCUUUUCUCAUUUCACUCAUUUCGCUGGGGGUGCAAUGAGUUCCUUCAUGUGUUUUUAGUAAGAUUGACUGGUGUACUCAAAGUUCUUUCAAUACUUACUCUAUAAAGCAAUUUGUUUAAAACUCAAGGAGAUUCAGGGAGUUGGUUGAGGACCACAAGACUUACAGGUCCAAUAUUAUUCAGUAUUUUAAAUUACACAAAUGACUGCUGCUUUUAAUCUCUGGGUCAGCUGUGACUUAGUUGAAGAGAAUCCAUUUUUGGAUUCAUUUCCAGGAUGUUGGUAAUCUCUGUCUUGUUGAAUAUUUGUUUCUCCUUUUUUUCUGUUUAAUAUAUUUCUUGGUUUCUAGAGUGUUCUCUGAUGUCAGGUGUUCAUAGCAGAGAGAUCCCAAUUAUUUGGCUUCAAUGUACCAUCAAGAGAGUCCUGUCAACUCUCAUUAAAUCCUUCAGUCUUAUAUUUUAGUCAAUAUAUUGAGCCUCCCCUGGAUGGUAUCCUUGUUAUAGAUUUUAAUCAUCUUGAUUAGAUGAUUCUUCUGUUACAAAGUUCUAUAUGGGUUAGUACAAUCACACAGUAAUAAUAAGUCUUACAAAUUUGCAUGACAUUUCCUAGGUUUUUAAGUUCUUUAACAUACAUCAGGCAUUUGUUCCAUCAACACAACCAUUUGAGGUAGAGCAGUUGAUACUUUUCUUCAAGUAAGUAGCCAAAAGAUCAGAAAAAUAAAGGAACUUGCUCUAGAACCCAUGGAUAAUAAGUGACAUUUAAAAUGUAACCUCCAGAGCUUACAUAUGAGACUUGAGUAUAGUAAAUGAAAAUGAUAUAUCGUAUGUAAAAAUAAACAAAGUUGGUUUAAGAAUAUAUUCACCAAUACCUCAUGAGUGAAGCUGGUAUGACUAGCAGUACUUAAACUAGUACUGCUAGAAGGAGAGACGAAGAAAUAUCGCAUGAAAAAAGCCGACCUUGGGGAUUUAAAAAAUUCCAAAAAAAAAAAAAAAAAA